This is a long non-coding RNA of Homalodisca vitripennis (glassy-winged sharpshooter), 391 nucleotides long. RefSeq lists it as uncharacterized. Lineage: Eukaryota; Metazoa; Arthropoda; Insecta; Hemiptera; Cicadellidae. The transcript has 2 exons. The record is from RefSeq and is a predicted model, not a curated record.
GUCGCUGACAAUGGCUUCCGAUAAGUGAAAGGUAAAUUGUUACAAUGCAGAAUAGACCAUUUUCAGUACAUCUUGUCCUAAUGAAGGUUUAAGAUCUCAUUAAUAUGUAUAAACUAGUUACGUUCCUUGUUAUAUUAUUGACUGUUAUUGAGCUAAUGGACUGCCUUCGCUGCUCUAGUUUGGGUCAAAAAUGUGGUCAAGCGUUUUCACGCACUGUGUUCUGUUGCUCGAGAUAUUAUUGCAGUUUAAAACCCUACGAGAAGACCGGAGUGUGCCUAUGGCGGUAGGUAAAAAAAAACAGCGGCCACUCUACUGUUCAUUACACUACAGAAUUAAUUAACUUAACCUAUUCUAAAAUGUAAGAACAUUAAAAUAUUAUUUAUAAGCCAAA